This 67-nucleotide transfer RNA is filed under the name Aconurella diplachnis. RNAcentral's name for it is "tRNA-Leu". Lineage: Eukaryota; Metazoa; Arthropoda; Insecta; Hemiptera; Cicadellidae. The record is from RNAcentral.
AGUGAUUUGGCAGAUUAGUGCAUUAAAUUUAGAAUUUAAUUAAGUAUGAUUUUAUAUACAUUCAUUA